Molecule: long non-coding RNA, 1540 nt
Organism: Clupea harengus (Atlantic herring)
Lineage: Eukaryota; Metazoa; Chordata; Actinopteri; Clupeiformes; Clupeidae
Source: Ensembl
UUGCCCGGUGCGCUUUGCCAAGGCCUUUUUAAAGCGUUUACGUGUUUAGAAACGCGUCUGGUGUGUUCGUACCCUAAGAUUUCUCGGUAGCAAGGACUGCACCGCUAACCGAGAAUAAGAGAGUUUAGCGCGAGUAGCUACAACAAAAAGGCUGCUAGUUAACUCUACGACGGGAGCAAGCAAAACAAGUAAUCGUGAAGACGACCCGCAAACUCUACAAGCUGAACAAAAGGAGCGAGUGGUUCCUCAUAUCUACACUGCAUGCAGCAACGAUGACAUCAGAGCUACAACCUCCUUCAUCCACGGACACUCUUCUGUUUGCCUCAUCAACAUCGUAUCCGCUAGUGCAACCCUUUACCCCGAGGACUGAUAACUUCGAUAACUGGAUGAUGAUCAUGAGAAGUGAGGUUGAAUCGGAGCUUCAGCCAUUAGAACACAAAGACAAGGGAAUAUUGUGUUCUGUUCUGGUGAAACCUGUUUGUUUACAUGGCAGUCCAAAGGUCAACCAUCUGUAACCUGUAUAAUCUGCAAAGCAGGAAUUUUUUGACUGCACCGACUGGAGUGUUUUUGAAGCUGCAACUCUCAACCUGGACAAACUGACUGAGGAGGUCAGUGAAAGAGUAUGCUGUUCUCGCGGCUUAGCAAAAUAAUCUGUUUAUUACAAAAAAGGUUUAACCUCGGAAUUUCUAACGCAGUCAGAAAACUUUUUGUGGUUAUCUUCCGCAGUCCUUUGCCACCGUAUCCUUUCGCCGCUGUCCUCUGAAUGGAGCUUCUGGAAGCUCCCAGCCCUGCAGGACACCUACCACACACGAUGCCUCAGGAAAGCUGGCAGGAUCCUAAAGGACUGCUACCACCCAGCUUUCAGACUUUUUACCCCGCUGCCCUCUGGAAGGCGGUACCGUAGCAUCCGGUCUCGCACACGCAGACUGGAGAACAGCUUUUACCCCAGGGCCAUCAGGCUGCUAAAUGGACAUUGAUACUACACCGCCACUUUUGCACUCGUCACUUACAUGCACUGUCACUGUCACUUUCAUAUUACUGUUUGCACUACACUUACAUAUACUGUCACUUCCAACCUACUGCUUGCACUAGCAGUAAUACCUUAUCAGGAAAAUUGCACUACCUGUAACUCCCUCACUGGGUUGUAUGUAGGUUAGUAUAGGUCAAUAGGGUAGCAUAGUUUAUUACAUGUGUAUUAUAUGUUAUAUGUAUAUAUGUUAGUAUUAUAUGUAUAGGCUGCUAUAUGUAUAUUUAGUAUUAUAUGUAUAGGUUGUUAUAUGUUUAGUACACCGUAUUGUAUAUUUAUCUUGUAUAUUUAGUAAGGUUAUUUAUAUGUUUAUUAUGUGUAAAUUAUGUUCAUAGUACUUGUGCAGAGUGUACGUCAUGGUUAUGUUAUGUAUAUUAUGUGUUGUUAUGUUAUGGUAGGUUUGGGCGGCGUCUUGUCGCAAGAAUUUCAGUGCCCAGUCUGACCUUGUGUCUUUUUGUGCAUCUGACAAAUAAAAGACUUGUAACUUGUAACUUGUAACUUCUAACGGUGAAU